CCUACGGGAGGCAGCAGUGGGGAAUAUUGGACAAUGGGCGAAAGCCUGAUCCAGCAAUGCCGCGUGAGUGAUGAAGGCCUUAGGGUUGUAAAGCUCUUUUACCAGGGAUGAUAAUGACAGUACCUGGAGAAUAAGCUCCGGCUAACUCCGUGCCAGCAGCCGCGGUAAUACGGAGGGAGCUAGCGUUGUUCGGAAUUACUGGGCGUAAAGCGUACGUAGGCGGUUAUUCAAGUCAGAGGUGAAAGCCUGGAGCUCAACUCCAGAACUGCCUUUGAAACUAGAUAGCUAGAAUCACGGAGAGGUUAGUGGAAUUCCGAGUGUAGAGGUGAAAUUCGUAGAUAUUCGGAAGAACACCAGUGGCGAAGGCGACUAACUGGACGUGUAUUGACGCUGAGGUACGAAAGCGUGGGGAGCAAACAGGAUUAGAUACCCUGGUAGUCCACGCCGUAAACGAUGAUAACUAGCUGUUCGGUCUCUACGAGACUGAGUGGCGCAGCUAACGCAUUAAGUUAUCCGCCUGGGGAGUACGGUCGCAAGAUUAAAACUCAAAAGAUAGUAGACGUGNGAGAGCGACGACGACGACGACGGAGGAGGAG
Molecule: ribosomal RNA, 596 nt
Filed under: uncultured bacterium
Lineage: Bacteria
Description: bacterial SSU rRNA
Rfam family: Bacterial small subunit ribosomal RNA
Source: RNAcentral